RNAcentral lists this small nucleolar RNA (132 nucleotides) under Nannospalax galili (Upper Galilee mountains blind mole rat). Its description in RNAcentral is "Small nucleolar RNA SNORA72 (ENSNGAG00000008567.1)". It matches the Rfam family "Small nucleolar RNA SNORA72". From Rfam's summary of the family: U72 is a member of the H/ACA class of snoRNAs. The record is from Rfam by way of RNAcentral. Lineage: Eukaryota; Metazoa; Chordata; Mammalia; Rodentia; Spalacidae.
CUGUGAAUAUUUUUGCUGUUCUAAUUUUGUAAUAAUCAGGUCAGGCUAAACAUUUGCUAUAGUAAGGCCAUGCAUGUGUCCCAAGGCCUAGUUCUUUCCCCAGGUCUGGGUUUCUACAUGCUGGUGACAAAC